Molecule: ribosomal RNA, 449 nt
Filed under: uncultured bacterium
Lineage: Bacteria
Description: bacterial SSU rRNA
Rfam family: Bacterial small subunit ribosomal RNA
Source: RNAcentral
ACACCAGACUCCUACGGGAGGCAGCAGUGGGGGAUAUUGCACAAUGGGGGAAACCCUGAUGCAGCGACGCCGCGUGGGCGAAGAAGUAUUUCGGUAUGUAAAGCCCUAUCAGCAGGGAAGAAGAAAUGACGGUACCUGAGUAAGAAGCACCGGCUAAAUACAUGCCAGCAGCCGCGGUAAUACGUAUGGUGCAAGCGUUAUCCGGAUUUACUGGGUGUAAAGGGAGCGCAGGCGGCACGGCAAGCCUGAUGUGAAAGCCCGCGGCCCAACCGCGGGACUGCAUUGGGAACUACCGGGCUGGAGUGCCGGAGAGGUAGGCGGAAUUCCUAGUGUAGCGGUGAAAUGCGUAGAUAUUAGGAGGAACACCAGUGGCGAAGGCGGCCUGCUGGACUGCAACUGACGUUGAGGCCCGAAAGCGUGGGGAGCAAACAGGAUUAGAUACCCCUGUA